Molecule: small nuclear RNA, 164 nt
Organism: Octodon degus (degu)
Lineage: Eukaryota; Metazoa; Chordata; Mammalia; Rodentia; Octodontidae
Gene: U1
Rfam family: U1 spliceosomal RNA
About the family: U1 is a small nuclear RNA (snRNA) component of the spliceosome (involved in pre-mRNA splicing). Its 5' end forms complementary base pairs with the 5' splice junction, thus defining the 5' donor site of an intron. There are significant differences in sequence and secondary structure between metazoan and yeast U1 snRNAs, the latter being much longer (568 nucleotides as compared to 164 nucleotides in human).
Source: Ensembl
AUAGUUAUCUGGCAGGGGAGAUACCAUGAUCAUGAAGGUGGUUUUCCCAGAGAGAAGUUUAUCUAUUGUACUCCGGAUGUGCUAAAAUCUGCGAUUUCCCCAAAUGCAUUGAAACUCCACUACAUAAUUUGUGGUAGUGGGGACUGCAUUCGCGCAUUCCCCUG